GUAUAGCACAAAGUCACAAGUCACAGUCACAAAUCUGAAGUCUCUUCUGGUUGUUUGGCAGCCUCAUAUUUUCAUCAAGACUCAAGGAAGUCACUUCUCUCCACUAAAGAUAGUCCAGAACAUAAGCUCCCUGUAAAACCACAAUGGGUGUAUUUCACUAUAUUUAGACAGAGCCUGGCUUGGCACAUCUAGUCUUCAUGGCCUUUAAAUAUGGCUGAAAUGUAUCGGUGUUCACAGGUUGUUAGAUUUGUUCCACACCCCAGGCUUUAUGAACUCUGCCUGAUGUUGGUUACCACUGUGUUUUUUCAACUGGGAUUUAAAGCUGCAUUUAUUUAUUUUUGCUGCUGCUGGAAACCAGCUUCACAAGAGCAGCCUGUGUCCUGGAAAAAAAACUAUAGACACUAGUGAGAGUGGUGUUUGUGGAGUCAGAAAACUGAAACAAUGAGAUAAGAGAGGAAAAAGCCCAGGUGGCGAUAAUGCUCUGUGAGUUUGUCACUAUGACUAACACAGUCAUUUGAUCCAUUGUUAAAGUGAGAGGAGAUAUUUCAGCUCUGGUUCCAGAACUAAAGGCCUCAUUCAUUUUCUCAUACAGUGUUACAUGGAUCAGCAAAUCAUCAGUCAACAUGAUUAUCAGCUGGGUUAGAAAAUAUCUUGUUCUUUGAUUAAAGAAAAAAGUCAAAAGUACAAGCUUGUGUGCAUACAGUUUUGGGGGAAAAGGUUCAAUACUAAGGUGUAUUUCAGCAGGAAAGUGAGUUGCUAACAGUGGCAGAGAGCUAAAGAUCACACAGCACAAACUGAGAACUCAAUCUGUAACUUAAAUCACUUCACUUUUAAAUUCUGGGUCAGUUUUGAUAGAAUCCAGCAUGUAUGUUUUUUUUUUAGCAACUGUAACCCUAUGGGUGUUGUAGUAUUUAGACCGGUCUGCCAGACCAAAAUGACAGACUCACCAUGAUUUUUCAUAAAUGAGGUUUAAGUGAUUAAAUCAGGUGGCUAUAACAUUAACCACUUUAUUUUAUAGGUCCUGCAUUUUCCAGCUAAAUUUCAGGAAACUUUCCUCAGAAUUUCCUAAACAUUUGCUCGUAUUUAGCUAUAAAUGACUAUGGUAGUUCCAAGAAAGCCUAUGCAAUUUGAAUAAAUGGAGAAAGAAUUAACAUACUUCAAAUUUUUUACCUACCAGCUUGUUAUAUUUGAGUUGUAGGAGGAAUUGUAGGAGGUAAAUGAAGAACAGUUCACAAAUUCAAGUCAAUAUCCACCGCUCAAUUGUUGAUUUGACAGAAAAUAAGUCGUUUUAUUCCACAGCUCCAGUCUAUGGAAAUUAAAUAGAAGUAAGUUAAUAAAUGUAACUGCUACGUUGGUGAAAUUUUUAUAGCAGUUUGAAACUAAAACCACAUAAUCCCCAGUACAGCUGAAAACACAGUUGAAAAUACAGUUGAGAAUGCAAUUACAAUGCUACAUGCAAUGCUGAUUACAAAGCAGAUCUAUCAUGUAUGGCAGUUCAAAGAGAUGAAGAAUCAGAAUUGUGUAUUUCUGUUUGUCUUUCUAGGAAACAUUGAUGGAUAUUGAUAGCAUGACUGUAGAAGCUAACACUUUCUCUGUUCCCCCAAACUGUGUUGGACUCUCUUGAAAUAUAUAAUUUACAGCUAAGCAGCAUUUUUUUCUAAGCUAAGGCUACAUCCUGUUAUUCAUGUGUUGCUUUUAGCUGGAAGUCAGUGUCCCCACUGUAAAAAUGACCUGAAGACAUCUGUCCAUCAAAGUGCCAAGAUCCCCAACAGGUACUCGUCUUUGCAGUACACCCAGCAGUGGUGAGGAAAAGGAGGAACAGCAGUGUUCUCUGAUAACCUCACUGGAUUACUGGACCAUGUUUGGACACUCUUAACAGCAUAUCUCUGUUGGGUUUUGUCAAACUGCAUUACUAUGCAAUAAUCACAUAUCCAUCAUUUGUCCAUAUUUCAUAUUAAGCUGUGUGGCAUUUGUUCAGAUCACAUUUAGAAUGAGUGGAGACAGUGAUCGUGUUUGUCAUUCAUGGACUGAUGAACAUGGAAGUGCCGUGUAAAACAGGAGAACAAACUCUCUUUCUUUCAAACUGAUGGGUAUUCAGCAUACAUGAUGAGGAAAGUAAAACACUGAAUCCAACUCCA
Lates calcarifer (barramundi perch) is the source of this 2138-nucleotide long non-coding RNA. RefSeq lists it as uncharacterized. The record is from RefSeq and is a predicted model, not a curated record. The transcript has 2 exons. Lineage: Eukaryota; Metazoa; Chordata; Actinopteri; Centropomidae.